This 738-nucleotide ribosomal RNA is filed under the name uncultured Enterobacteriaceae bacterium. RNAcentral's name for it is "bacterial SSU rRNA". It matches the Rfam family "Bacterial small subunit ribosomal RNA", at positions 760 to 1502 of the family's 1533-position model. The record is from RNAcentral. Lineage: Bacteria; Pseudomonadati; Pseudomonadota; Gammaproteobacteria; Enterobacterales; Enterobacteriaceae.
GGUGGGGAGCAAACAGGAUUAGAUACCUGGUAGUCACGCUGUAAACGAUGUCGAUUUGGAGUUUGUUGCCUAGAGUGAUGGGCUCGAAGCUAACGCGAUAAAUCGACCGCUGGGGAGUACGGCCGCAAGGUUAAAACUCAAAUGAAUUGACGGGGGCCCGCACAAGCGGUGGAGCAUGUGGUUUAAUUCGAUGCAACGCGAAGAACCUUACCUGGUCUUGACAUCCAUAGAAUUCUGCAGAGAUGUGGGAGUGCCUUCGGGAACUAUGAGACAGGUGCUGCAUGGCUGUCGUCAGCUCGUGUUGUGAAAUGUUGGGUUAAGUCCCGCAACGAGCGCAACCCUUAUUCUUUGUUGCCAGCGAUUUGGUCGGGAACUCAAAGGAGACUGCCGUUGAUAAAGCGGAGGAAGGUGGGGACGACGUCAAGUCAUCAUGGCCCUUACGACCAGGGCUACACACGUGCUACAAUGGCGUAUACAAAGGGAAGCGAAGGUGCGAGCUGGAGCGGAUCUCAUAAAGUACGUCUAAGUUCGGAUUGGAGUCUGCAACUCGACUCCAUGAAGUCGGAAUCGCUAGUAAUCGUAGAUCAGAAUGCUACGGUGAAUACGUUCCCGGGCCUUGUACACACCGCCCGUCACACCAUGGGAGUGGGUUGCACCAGAAGUAGAUAGCUUAACCGCGAGGGGGGCGUUUACCACGGUGUGAUUCAUGACUGGGGUGAAGUCGUAACAAGGUAACCA